RNAcentral lists this ribosomal RNA (253 nucleotides) under uncultured bacterium. Its description in RNAcentral is "partial 16S ribosomal RNA". It matches the Rfam family "Bacterial small subunit ribosomal RNA", at positions 524 to 776 of the family's 1533-position model. The record is from RNAcentral.
UACGAAGGGGGCUAGCGUUGCUCGGAAUCACUGGGCGUAAAGCGCACGUAGGCGGCUUUCUAAGUCAGGGGUGAAAUCCUGGAGCUCAACUCCAGAACUGCCUUUGAUACAGCACGUCUUGAGUCCGAUAGAGGUGGGUGGAAUUCCUAGUGUAGAGGUGAAAUUCGUAGAUAUUAGGAAGAACACCGGUGGCGAAGGCGGUUCUCUGGGACGGUACUGACGCUGAGACGCGAAAGCGUGGGGAGCGAACAGG